Molecule: ribosomal RNA, 245 nt
Filed under: uncultured Eubacteriales bacterium
Lineage: Bacteria; Bacillati; Bacillota; Clostridia; Eubacteriales
Description: uncultured Clostridiales bacterium partial 16S ribosomal RNA
Rfam family: Bacterial small subunit ribosomal RNA
Source: RNAcentral
UACGUAGGUGGCAAGCGUUGUCCGGAAUCACUGGGCGUAAAGGGCGCGUAGGCGGGUCAUUAAGUCAGAUGUGAAAUGUCCGGGCUUAACCUGGGAUAUGCAUUUGAAACUGGAGAUCUUGAGUGCAGGAGAGGGCAGUGGAAUUCCUAGUGUAGCGGUGAAAUGCGUAGAUAUUAGGAGGAACACCAGUGGCGAAGGCGGCUGCCUGGACUGUAACUGACGCUGAGGCGCGAAAGCGUGGGGAG